This 291-nucleotide long non-coding RNA is filed under the name Ursus maritimus (polar bear). Its description in RNAcentral is "lncRNA (ENSUMAG00000011951.1)". The record is from RNAcentral. Lineage: Eukaryota; Metazoa; Chordata; Mammalia; Carnivora; Ursidae.
AUAUUGAAAUUACUCCAUCAGCUCUGCUCGCCCCCCAUCUCACCCCCCAAGCGGAGUCUGGUCUUGUCGGAUUGCCCAUGCACUUGUUGCAGAAACAGCCAAGAACCAGGCCUCCUCUUCCCACCUGCCCAGCAGCAUGAGAGCAGCAUGACUGGCCGGCCGCAGGAGAAGCCCCUAGAGCCAGGCCCCCAACUCAACCAUCUGCUGCGGAGGUCAAGGUGUGAGCGGCGUCUCUGCACCCCGGUGGUGUUCGGUCCGUACCUCGGCCUGCGCGAGGAUGUAAAGCCCCCC